GGAUUCAUCCUCAUAGAAUCAUGGAGCCACAGGAUCCUGGAGUGUUUGGGUUGAGAGGGACCAUAAAGAUCUCUUUGUAACCCCCCUGCCACGGGCAGGGACACUUUUCAGCAGCCCAGGUAGAUCCAAGCCCCAUCCAACAUGGCCUUGGACACUCCCAGGGAUGGGGCAGCCACAGCUUCUCUGUGCCAGGGCCUCACCACGCUCACAGGGAAGAAUUUCUUGCUAGUAUCUAAUCUAAAUCUACCCUAUUUCAGUUUAAAGCCAUUACCAUUCAUCACUGUACCCCCUAAUGUCUUGAACAUCUAUAUCCCCUCGAAGGAUCUGGGGGCAGUUCUGUCAUCAACAGAAAAAAAAUUUCAGGAGACUGGUAUUCAUAACCAUUAGGUGACUUCAGUGCUCAACAUCCACUGAUUUUAACACAGGAGAAGUUUUUAAAACUUCUUUUAUUUUCCUGAUUAGCUCCUAUGAACUCAGCUUCUGGGUGUCCAAGCUCUCACGAAAAAUCAAAGGAAGCCUGAAUGCAAAGCAAAAGCACAGUUGUCACUUUAGUUUACUCAUGCUUGUCCCAGAAAAUGAAAAGAGGCUUUUUCUCACUUUGUAUUUUUUUUUUUUUUUAAUGCACUCGUGCAACACAGUUGUGUUUGGAGUUAAACUUCUUAUUGUCAUGUUGGAAACCCAAACUGUGAAUGCAAAUCUCCUGAUGGCUCAGUACCAGACCUGUGAGUCUCAUUGCUGAGACAUCUUUGAAAAUUUGGCCUCAUUUUGUAGUGACAAAGUGACAGAUUCCUCUGGUAAGGAAAUUCUGGUGAGCAGAGUGCCUGGAGGUUUGGCUAAUUUGCUAGGAUUACAAUUUGGGUUUUAAUGACAGUAUCUUAGUUUUCCCUCAAACCAGCCAUCAAAAUAGAGCUCUGCUUCUAGAGAAAAGUAAAUCCACAAAGAUGCAAAAGUAGAUUUAUCCCAUCUGACUGGUGCUCCAAAGCUCCCAACUAAGCCUGUGUUCCCCUUGUCACAUUUCCUCUGCCAGAACCUGGGUCUGGUUUUAAUGUUCUCACAUUUUUUUGAGCAGCCAGGAUUCUUGGGAAGACAAUUUUCACCCUGUUUACUUCAGAAAUCAAUUGGGAUUUCUGUCUCACACUGAUCCUGAGCAUAAACCUUGUCUUCUCCUCUUAGGUCUUCAUUUCAGGACCCAGUGGGAUGGGUGGGAUGGUUCUCCUGCCAUCCUGAGCUUGUGCUGCUCUGUCACACAAAAGGGAAGCCUUGUGCCAGGAUCAAGUCCACCAACUCCUUCACAUGUUCAAAGACACCUUUUAAUGACAGAAAUUCUUCUCAAGCCCUUGCCAAUUAAGCCCACUUUAAUAACUCUGACCAUUUAUGUGACAUAUUUCAUCUUGGAAGAGCUAAUAAAAUCACAAAUUACUGUUCACAGUGCUCCCAAGAGGAAGCUCAUCAUUAUCACAUCCUCACUCCUUUGAUGGGGAAACUGAGGCAAUGUGUUUUAAGGACAAAGAGUGGAGUCUUUGCCAAACCACCCAGGUGAGUUCAGCGCUCUGCAUGCUCCCAUGUGGGACAAAAUCUUCUUCUGCAGGGCAUAAAGGGAGAAUCUCCUGGUUUUCCUCAUCAGAAACAUGCAAAGGUGAAAAAGGGUCAUGAAAAUGAUGUCUGCGGAUCUUCCAAUUCUCUGCUGGGCAUUUGAACUUAAAAUGCCAGCAAUGCUUCUCUCCCUUGCUCUCAAGAGGAAAGCUAUAUCUGGAGUAGGGCAACAUGCCUUAAUUUGAGAAAUUUAAUGCCUUCGAAGCGCUACCAAAGCACAAUUAGCAAAUAAAAAAACCCCAGAAGUCAAGGCAGGAGACCUGAGUAUGCAGUUCAAACAUCAAAGGAGUAUUACCUGUGCUUUCAUCUCCCUUUCCUCUUGUGAGUCAAAGAUACAACAUAUCACUGCAUAUUUUAAGCAUUUUCUGUUCUGAAAGCUUAAAUGUCAGUGUAAUUACCCCAAUGGUAAUUUCUGUUUGUUGUUCCAGGCUGGUACUUCAGCAGAAUCUCCCAAUUUUCACAUGAUUAUCUCCAUCUCUGCCUUUGAUAGGUUUGUGUCCAAUUCACUCUGGAUUUGAACUGCUUCACAUUCCUUGAAAAUCUGCUUUGAAUGCUGCCAAAGGAGGUAUGGUACUGACUGUUGUGGGGCAUUUUUGAUGUCCUUUUUCCCCAGGUUCCCCCAUCCUCUUUCCCAAGUGCAAGAUCACCUGGUUGCACCAAGACCCACAGUUCAGAGCAAUCUGUAAUGUAACCACCUGGAAUAGAGCAUAACUUUUACCUUUUUCUUUAUUUUCCACCUUUCUUUCUUUUGAAUAAACUUCACAGUUGAGGAUUAUUGACAAAUCUGCUUGAAAAAGACACACGAAGAGCAUCCUUUAUGGUCCAUCUUGUGGUAAAACACGGGCAUUUCUUUGCUCAUUUGAAUGUCAGUGGAUUAUUUAUGCUGGUGCAAUGUUUUCAAGAGAUAAAAUACUCCCCACUGUGCUACAUGCAAAUCUCUGCAAUGUAAACAUAAAUAGUUGUUGCACAUGCAUAAUCAAAGACAUUUUUUAUAAUUAUUGUUGGAUAGUUCAGUCCUCUAAUAGCAUCAUCUGGUGUAAAUCAGUGUAGCUCUACUGAAGCCUGCAAAGCCCCUACCGAUUUGUACCAGAUGGGGCUCAAACUCU
Long non-coding RNA from Taeniopygia guttata (zebra finch), 2699 nucleotides. NCBI's taxonomy places the organism in Eukaryota, Metazoa, Chordata, Aves, Passeriformes, Estrildidae. The record is from Ensembl.